UGUAUGAAGAAGGAGGAGGUAGAGGAGUUGAAGGAGAAGAAGAAGAGGAAGGAGGACAAGAAGGAGAAGAAGAAGGUGGUGGUGGCCUUUAGUACCAUCUCAUUUUGAAAGAUGAAAAAGGUCUGAGUUUGUUUGGGAACAGAUUUUUACAGCCAACUUUAAAACCUGUAAAUGAAAUGGAAAUUUAAAAACUCCAAACUGUUGCAGCCAAAUUACAGAAGAUGUUGAAUUCAAACCAUAACUUUUAUGAAAAGUGUAAGUGAAAACUAUUUUGAUGCUGCCUGAAUAUUAAAAUCUGGCCAAUGUUU
This is a long non-coding RNA of Neogale vison (American mink), 308 nucleotides long. RefSeq lists it as uncharacterized. The transcript has 2 exons. The record is from RefSeq and is a predicted model, not a curated record. NCBI's taxonomy places the organism in Eukaryota, Metazoa, Chordata, Mammalia, Carnivora, Mustelidae.